UAAAUUUAAAUGUUUUAGUAUAUUAUAUAAAAUAAAUAAAAUUAGUAAUAGUUUAUUAGUAUUGUAAAAUAAUAUUGAAAUAUAAUGAAAAAUUUUUAUUUUAAAAGAAAAUUUUAUUUAUUGUAUCUUGUGUAUCAGAGUAUAUUAAAUAAAAAAUAAUUAUAAUAUUUUUCUCGAUUUUAAAAGAUUUAAUAAAUUAUAAAAAUUAAUGUAAUAAAAUUAUUUUUAAUAAUUUAUUAGAAAUGAAAUGUUAUUCGUUUUUAAAGGUAUCUAGUUUUUUAAGAAAUAAAUUAAAUUUAAAUUUUUAAAAUUUAUUUAUUUAUUUUUUUUAAUUAAAUAAUUUUUAAGAAUUAAUAUUUUAUGGGAUAAGCUAUAAAAUAAAUUUUUAUAAAUAAUAAAUAUAAAUUUAAAUAUUAUAUGUUUAGAAUUAUCAAUUAUUAUUAAAUUUGUUAUAAAUUAAUUUUUAUAAGAAAUUAUUUAUUAUAUUUUAAAUUUUUAUUAAAAUAUUUUUUUUAACAAUAAAAACAAAAUAAUAAUGAUAUAAUUAGUAUAUUAUAAUUUAUUUAAUUUUUUUAAAAUGAAAAGUUUAUUUAAAGAAUUCGGCAAAAAUAAUAUUCGCCUGUUUAACAAAAACAUGUCUUUUAGAAUUUAAUUUAAAGUCUAACCUGCCCAAUGAUUUUUUUUAAUGGCCGCAGUAUUUUAACUGUGCAAAGGUAGCAUAAUCAUUAGUCUUUUAAUUGAAGGCUGGAAUGAAUGGUUGGACGAAAUAUUAACUGUUUCAUUUAAAAUUAUAAUAAAAUUUUAUUUUUUAAUUAAAAAGUUAAAAUUUAAUUAAAAGACGAGAAGACCCUAUAAAUCUUUAUAUAUUUAUUAAUUUUAAUUUUAAAGAUUAUUUUAAUUAUAAUAAAUAAAUAUAUUUUAUUGGGGUGAUAUUAAAAUUUAAUUAACUUUUAAAUAUAUAAAUCAUUAAUUUAUGAAUAAUUGAUCCAAUUAUAUUGAUUAAAAAUUUAAGUUACUUUAGGGAUAACAGCGUAAUUUUUUUGGAGAGUUCAUAUUGAUAAAAAAGAUUGCGACCUCGAUGUUGGAUUAAGAUAUAAGUUUAGGUGUAGCCGUUUAAAUUUAAAGUCUGUUCGACUUUUAAAAUCUUACAUGAUCUGAGUUCAAACCGGUGUAAGCCAGGUUGGUUUCUAUCUUUAAUAAAUUAAAAUAUUUUAGUACGAAAGGAUUAAAUAUUUAAUUAAUUAUAAUUUAAAAAUAAGAA
This 1261-nucleotide ribosomal RNA is filed under the name Melanostoma scalare. RNAcentral describes it as "16S ribosomal RNA". Lineage: Eukaryota; Metazoa; Arthropoda; Insecta; Diptera; Syrphidae. The record is from RNAcentral.